GACGAACGCUGGCGGCGUGCUUAACACAUGCAAGUCGAACGGAAAGUCCCUGCUUUUGUGGGGUGCUCUAGUGGCGAACGGGUGAGUAACACGUGAGUAACCUGCCCUUGACUGUGGGAUAACUUCAUGAAACUGGGGCUAAUACCGGAUAGGAGCUCCUGCUGCAUGGUGGGGGUUGGAAAGUUUCGGCGGUUGGGGAUGGACUCGCGGCUUAUCAGCUUGUUGGUGGGGUAGUGGCUUACCAAGGCUUUGACGGGUAGCCGGCCUGAGAGGGUGACCGGCCACAUUGGGACUGAGAUACGGCACAGACUCCUACGGGAGGCAGCAGUGGGGAAUAUUGCACAAUGGGCGGAAGCCUGAUGCAGCAAAGCAGCGUGCGGGAUGACGGCCUUCGGGUUGUAAACCGCUUUCGCCUGUGACGAAGCGUGAGUGACGGUAAUGGGUAAAGAAGCACCGGCUAACUACGUG
Molecule: ribosomal RNA, 468 nt
Filed under: uncultured bacterium
Lineage: Bacteria
Description: partial 16S ribosomal RNA
Rfam family: Bacterial small subunit ribosomal RNA
Source: RNAcentral